RNAcentral lists this non-coding RNA (30 nucleotides) under Homo sapiens (human). Lineage: Eukaryota; Metazoa; Chordata; Mammalia; Primates; Hominidae. The record is from RNAcentral.
CUAGGCCCCAAGGGUGGGGGUGGGAAGGGA